This 610-nucleotide ribosomal RNA is filed under the name Fusarium solani. RNAcentral's name for it is "eukaryotic LSU rRNA". It matches the Rfam family "Eukaryotic large subunit ribosomal RNA", at positions 1 to 633 of the family's 3401-position model. The record is from RNAcentral. Lineage: Eukaryota; Fungi; Ascomycota; Sordariomycetes; Hypocreales; Nectriaceae.
UUGACCUCGAAUCAGGUAGGAAUCCCCGCUGAACUUAAGCAUUUCAAUAAGCGGAGGAAAAGAACCCACCAGGGAUUGCCCCAGUAACCGGGAGUGAAGCGGCAACAGCUCAAAUUUGAAAUCUGGCUUUCGGGCCCGAGUUGUAAUUUGUAGAGGAUGCUUUUGGUGAGGUGCCUUCCGAGUUCCCUGGAACGGGACGCCAUAGAGGGUGAGAGCCCCGUCUGGUUGGACACCGAUCCUCUGUAAAGCUCCUUCGACGAGUCGAGUAGUUUGGGAAUGCUGCUCUAAAUGGGAGGUAUAUGUCUUCUAAAGCUAAAUACCGGCCAGAGACCGAUAGCGCACAAGUAGAGUGAUCGAAAGAUGAAAAGAACUUUGAAAAGAGAGUUAAACAGUACGUGAAAUUGUUGAAAGGGAAGCGCUUGUGACCAGACUUGGGCUUGGUUGAUCAUCCGGGGUUCUCCCCGGUGCACUCUUCCGGCCCAGGCCAGCAUCAGUUCGCCCUGGGGGACAAAGGCUUCGGGAAUGUGGCUCUCUCCGGGGAGUGUUAUAGCCCGUUGCGUAAUACCCUGUGGCGGACUGAGGUUUGAGCAAACACAAGGGUGCUGGCGGA